CCCUUAGAUGUUCUGGGCUGCACGCGCGCUACACUGAUGCAUCCAACAAGUUUUUUCCUUGUUCGAGAGGACUAGGUAAUCUUAUGAGAAUGCAUCGUGAUGGGGAUAGAUUAUUGCAAUUAUUAAUCUUCAACGAGGAAUUCCUAGUAAGCGCGAGUCAUCAGCUCGUGCUGAUUACGUCCCUGCCCUUUGUACACACCGCCCGUCGCACCUACCGAUUGAAUGUUUCGGUGAAGAUUCCGGAUAGGACUGAUUUGAUUUAUUUCAUUUCUGACCUAAAAGCUAUCUAAACCUCAACAUUUAGAGGAAGGUGAAGUCGUAACA
Molecule: ribosomal RNA, 324 nt
Filed under: uncultured eukaryote
Lineage: Eukaryota
Description: partial 18S ribosomal RNA
Rfam family: Eukaryotic small subunit ribosomal RNA
Source: RNAcentral